Molecule: ribosomal RNA, 393 nt
Filed under: uncultured bacterium
Lineage: Bacteria
Description: partial 16S ribosomal RNA
Rfam family: Bacterial small subunit ribosomal RNA
Source: RNAcentral
AUACGUAGGGAGCGUGCGUUGUCCGGAAUUACUGGGCGUAAAGGGCGCGUAGGCGGCGCUUCAAGUCGUCUGUCAAAUGGGAGGGCUUAACCCUUUUUCGCAGACGAAACUGGAGAGCUUGAGAAGCAGAGAGGCAAACAGAAUUCCUGGUGUAGCGGUGAAAUGCGUAGAGAUCAGGAAGAAUACCAGUGGCGAAGGCGGUUUGCUGGCUGCAUACUGACGCUGAAGCGCGAAAGCCAGGGGAGCGAACGGGAUUAGAUACCCCGGUAGUCCUGGCAGUAAACGAUGUAUGCUGGGUGUGAGACUAGCGAUAGUUUCGUGCCGAAGUUAACGCGAUAAGCAUACCGCCUGGGGAGUACGGUCGCAAGAUUGAAACUCAAAGGAAUUGACGGG